UUGGAGGGCAAGCUGGUGCCAGCAGCCGCGGUAAUUCCAGCUCCAAUAGCGUAUAUUAAAGUUGUUGUGGUUAAAAAGCUCGUAGUUGAACCUUGGGCCUGGCUGGCCGGUCCGCCUCACCGCGUGUACUGGUCCGGCCGGGCCUUUCCCUCUGUGGAACCCCAUGCCCUUCACUGGGUGUGGCGGGGAAACAGGACUUUUACUGUGAAAAAAUUAGAGUGCUCCAGGCAGGCCUAUGCUCGAAUACAUUAGCAUGGAAUAAUAGGAUAGGA
This 272-nucleotide ribosomal RNA is filed under the name uncultured Ascomycota. RNAcentral's name for it is "partial 18S ribosomal RNA". It matches the Rfam family "Eukaryotic small subunit ribosomal RNA", at positions 548 to 827 of the family's 1831-position model. The record is from RNAcentral. Lineage: Eukaryota; Fungi; Ascomycota.